AGUCUAUGGACUCGACUCUUGCACAUCUACGUCUUAGGUUUGCGCCAAUUCGUGGUAAGCUUGGGUCAUAGAGACUCAUAGGUGUUAUAAAGACUCGCUGGUGUUUGUCUCCUUGAGGCAUACGGCUUUAACCAAAACUCUCAAAGUUUGACCUCAAAUCAGGUAGGAGUACCCGCUGAACUUAAGCAUAUCAAUAAGCGGAGGAAAAGAAACCAACCGGGAUUGCCUUAGUAACGGCGAGUGAAGCGGCAAAAGCUCAAAUUUGAAAUCUGGCGUCUUCGACGUCCGAGUUGUAAUUUGAAGAAGGCGACUUUGUAGCUGGUCCUUGUCUAUGUUCCUUGGAACAGGACGUCAUAGAGGGUGAGAAUCCCGUGUGGCGAGGAUCCCAGUUAUUUGUAAAGUGCUUUCGACGAGUCGAGUUGUUUGGGAAUGCAGCUCUAAGUGGGUGGUAAAUUCCAUCUAAAGCUAAAUAUUGGCGAGAGACCGAUAGCGAACAAGUACAGUGAUGGAAAGAUGAAAAGAACUUUGAAAAGAGAGUGAAAAAGUACGUGAAAUUGUUGAAAGGGAAGGGCAUUUGAUCAGACAUGGCGUUUGCUUCGGCUUUCGCUGGGCCAGCAUCAGUUUUAGCGGUUGGAUAAAUCCUCGGGAAUGUGGCUCUGCUUCGGUAGAGUGUUAUAGCCCGUGGGAAUACAGCCAGCUGGGACUGAGGAUUGCGACUUUUGUCAAGGAUGCUGGCGUAAUGGUUAAAUGCCGCCCGUCUUGAAACACGGACCAAGGAGUCUAACGUCUAUGCGAGUGUUUGGGUGUAAAACCCGUACGCGUAAUGAAAGUGAACGUAGGUGAGGGCCCGCAAGGGUGCAUCAUCGACCGAUCCUGAUGUCUUCGGAUGGAUUUGAGU
Molecule: ribosomal RNA, 898 nt
Filed under: Kluyveromyces marxianus
Lineage: Eukaryota; Fungi; Ascomycota; Saccharomycetes; Saccharomycetales; Saccharomycetaceae
Description: LSU rRNA
Rfam family: Eukaryotic large subunit ribosomal RNA (bases 149-898)
Source: RNAcentral